UGGUAGCCUGCGAUAAGCCUCGGGGAGCUGGCAAACGAGCUGUGAUCCGAGGGUGUCCGAAUGGGGGAACCCCGCCGCAGUCAUGUGCGGUGACCCACACCUGAAUAUAUAGGGUGUGUGGAGGGAACGUCGGGAAGUGAAACAUCUCAGUACCGACAGGAAGAGAUAUUCCGUGAGUAGUGGCGAGCGAAAGCGGAUGAGGCCAAACCGUCCUCGUGUGAUAGCCGGCAGGCGUUG
This 237-nucleotide ribosomal RNA is filed under the name Chrysotila carterae. Its description in RNAcentral is "partial Bacterial large subunit ribosomal RNA". It matches the Rfam family "Bacterial large subunit ribosomal RNA", at positions 59 to 300 of the family's 2925-position model. The record is from RNAcentral. Lineage: Eukaryota; Haptophyta; Isochrysidales; Isochrysidaceae.